This 200-nucleotide unclassified non-coding RNA is filed under the name soil metagenome. RNAcentral's name for it is "partial contains internal transcribed spacer 2 and large subunit ribosomal RNA". The record is from RNAcentral.
GGACUUGGAUGUUGUUGUGUUCAACGACUCAUCUUAAAUGCUUCAGUGUACCCUGCUUUGCAGCGUAUCAGUGUGAUAAACAUCUUCACUGUUAAGUCUUUCGAGACACGCUUGUGUUGUGGGCUCUAUGCUUCCAACCGUCUUUUGGACAAUCUCUGACAAUUUGACCUCAAAUCGGGUGGGACUACCCGCUGACUUAA